This 509-nucleotide ribosomal RNA is filed under the name uncultured Capnodiales. RNAcentral describes it as "eukaryotic LSU rRNA". The stretch from base 174 to 327 matches the Rfam family "5.8S ribosomal RNA". The record is from RNAcentral. Lineage: Eukaryota; Fungi; Ascomycota; Dothideomycetes; Capnodiales.
GUGACCUGCGGAGGGAUCAUUACUGAGUGAGGGCCUCUGGCCCGACCUCCAACCCUUUGUUAUCAAAACCACUGUUGCCUCGGGGGCGACCCGUGCCCGUCGGCGCGGGGCCCCCGACGGACCAUUUACAAACUCUGCAUCUUUGCGUCGGGUUUAAAAGUUUAAUUGAUUAAAACUUUCAACAACGGAUCUCUUGGUUCUGGCAUCGAUGAAGAACGCAGCGAAAUGCGAUAAGUAAUGUGAAUUGCAGAAUUCAGUGAAUCAUCGAGUUUUUGAACGCACACUGCGCCCCUUGGUAUUCCGGGGGGCAUGCCCGUUCGAGCGUCAUUUCUCAAAUCAAGCCUGGCUUGGUAUUGGCCACGGGGGCGACCCGGGCCUCAAAGUCGCCGGCUGGAAAGCUCUGAUCUCAGCGUCGUGGUAAAUCAAUUCGCCGACGAGAGGAGCAGUCUGCGCCGUAAAAACUACACAAGGUUGACCUCGGAUCGGGUAGGAAUACCCGCUGAACUUAA